GGGAAUUGGAAGAGAAAGAGAGGCUGAGAAGGGAAACCUUGCUCAGGCCAGCUGAGGUGCCGUCCAGGGCUUCUGAAGUUCCCACUCGUCCAGCAGAGGCUGUCACUCCAACUCCAGCUGCGGCAGCUGCAGCCCCAGCAUCAGCUGCUGUACCAGCCCCUGGAAGGUAUGUGCCUAGGUUUCGCCGGGGGGAUAAAAGUGAAUCCUCUGGCCAGGCACCACCACCUCAAGACUCUGAUCGGUGGAGUGGCAGCAGCACCAACAAGCCCCCGUCUUCUACUGAAGACCGAUGGGGCGGCAGAGGACCUCCCCCUGAAACUGAUCGUUGGAGCGGCAGAGGACCUCCCCCUGAAACUGAUCGUUGGAGCGGCAGCAGAAGCAGGGCCCCACCUGCGGAAGGUGAUCGGUGGGGUAGCGGUCGAUCAGAUGACCGUCCUGCUAGUGACAAAUGGCGGGGUUCCUCCUUUGGUAGGUCCACUGCAUCUAGGGUCC
This 492-nucleotide long non-coding RNA is filed under the name Carica papaya (papaya). Its description in RNAcentral is "long non-coding RNA (CPAP_LNC008831)". The record is from RNAcentral. Lineage: Eukaryota; Viridiplantae; Streptophyta; Magnoliopsida; Brassicales; Caricaceae.